UACGUAGGGGGCAAGCGUUGUUCGGAAUCACUGGGCUUAAAGGGCGCGUAGGCGGCCCCGUCAGUCGGGGGUGAAAUCCCACGGCCCAACCGUGGAAGUGCCUCCGAUACUGCGGGGCUCGAGGGGGGUAGGGGCAGCGGGAACUUCCGGUGGAGCGGUGAAAUGCGUUGAUAUCGGAAGGAACGCCGGCGGCGAAAGCGCGCUGCUGGACCCUCUCUGACGCUGAGGCGCGAAAGCCAGGGGAGCAAACGGG
RNAcentral lists this ribosomal RNA (253 nucleotides) under uncultured bacterium. RNAcentral describes it as "partial 16S ribosomal RNA". It matches the Rfam family "Bacterial small subunit ribosomal RNA", at positions 524 to 776 of the family's 1533-position model. The record is from RNAcentral.